This 460-nucleotide ribosomal RNA is filed under the name uncultured bacterium. RNAcentral's name for it is "partial 16S ribosomal RNA". It matches the Rfam family "Bacterial small subunit ribosomal RNA", at positions 338 to 795 of the family's 1533-position model. The record is from RNAcentral.
CCUACGGGAGGCAGCAGUGAGGAAUAUUGGUCAAUGGGCUUACGCCUGAACCAGCCAAGUCGCGUGAGGGAAGACUGCCCUAUGGGUUGUAAACCUCUUUUGUCAGGGAGCAACGCCGGCUACGUGUAGCCGGACUGAGAGUACCUGAAGAAAAAGCAUCGGCUAACUCCGUGCCAGCAGCCGCGGUAAUACGGAGGAUGCGAGCGUUAUCCGGAUUGAUUGGGUUUAAAGGGUGCGUAGGCGGAAUGCCAAGUCAGCGGUAAAAUCGCGGGGCUCAACCUCGCCCCGCCGUUGAAACUGGCGUUCUUGAGUGGGCGAGAAGUAUGCGGAAUGCGUGGUGUAGCGGUGAAAUGCAUAGAUAUCACGCAGAACUCCGAUUGCGAAGGCAGCAUACCGGCGCCCAACUGACGCUGAAGCACGAAAGCGUGGGUAUCGAACAGGAUUAGAUACCCUUGUAGUC